This 791-nucleotide ribosomal RNA is filed under the name uncultured organism. RNAcentral's name for it is "bacterial SSU rRNA". It matches the Rfam family "Bacterial small subunit ribosomal RNA", at positions 129 to 917 of the family's 1533-position model. The record is from RNAcentral.
CCUGUAACAGGGGGAUAACCCGGAGAAAUCCGGACUAAUACCCCAUAAUAUGGGCGCUCCGCAUGGAGAGCCCAUUAAAGAGAGCAAUUUUGGUUACAGACGAGCAUGCGCUCCAUUAGCCAGUUGGCGGGGUAACGGCCCACCAAAGCGACGAUGGAUAGGGGUUCUGAGAGGAAGGUCCCCCACAUUGGAACUGAGACACGGUCCAAACUCCUACGGGAGGCAGCAGUGAGGAAUAUUGGUCAAUGGUCGGCAGACUGAACCAGCCAAGUCGCGUGAGGGAAGACGGCCCUACGGGUUGUAAACCUCUUUUGUCGGAGAGUAAAGUACGCUACGUGUAGUGUAUUGCAAGUAUCCGAAGAAAAAGCAUCGGCUAACUCCGUGCCAGCAGCCGCGGUAAUACGGAGGAUGCAAGCGUUAUCCGGAUUUAUUGGGUUUAAAGGGUGCGUAGGCGGCACGCCAAGUCAGCGGUGAAAUUUCCGGGCUCAACCCGGAGUGUGCCGUUGAAACUGGCGAGCUAGAGUACACAAGAGGCAGGCGGAAUGCGUGGUGUAGCGGUGAAAUGCAUAGAUAUCACGCAGAACCCCGAUUGCGAAGGCAGCCUGCUAGGGUGAAACAGACGCUGAGGCACGAAAGCGUGGGUAUCGAACAGGAUUAGAUACCCUGGUAGUCCACGCAGUAAACGAUGAAUACUAACUGUUUGCGAUACAAUGUAAGCGGUACAGCGAAAGCGUUAAGUAUUCCACCUGGGGAGUACGCCGGCAACGGUGCAACUCAAAUGAAUUGACGGA